This 71-nucleotide transfer RNA is filed under the name Sphaerobolus stellatus SS14. Its description in RNAcentral is "tRNA-Gly (TCC) (tRNA-Gly-TCC-1 1 to 4)". It matches the Rfam family "tRNA". Rfam says of the family: Transfer RNA (tRNA) molecules are approximately 80 nucleotides in length. Their secondary structure includes four short double-helical elements and three loops (D, anti-codon, and T loops). Further hydrogen bonds mediate the characteristic L-shaped molecular structure. tRNAs have two regions of fundamental functional importance: the anti-codon, which is responsible for specific mRNA codon recognition, and the 3' end, to which the tRNAs corresponding amino acid is attached (by aminoacyl-tRNA synthetases). tRNAs cope with the degeneracy of the genetic code in two manners: having more than one tRNA (with a specific anti-codon) for a particular amino acid; and 'wobble' base-pairing, i.e. permitting non-standard base-pairing at the 3rd anti-codon position. Lineage: Eukaryota; Fungi; Basidiomycota; Agaricomycetes; Geastrales; Sphaerobolaceae. The record is from RNAcentral.
ACACGUGUGGUGAAAUGGUAUCAUGCUUGCCUUCCAAGCAAGCGGCUCGGGUUCGAUUCCCGGCGCGUGUA